This 55-nucleotide transfer RNA is filed under the name Sphingobacteriales bacterium. RNAcentral describes it as "tRNA-OTHER". It matches the Rfam family "tRNA". Rfam says of the family: Transfer RNA (tRNA) molecules are approximately 80 nucleotides in length. Their secondary structure includes four short double-helical elements and three loops (D, anti-codon, and T loops). Lineage: Bacteria; Pseudomonadati; Bacteroidota; Sphingobacteriia; Sphingobacteriales. The record is from RNAcentral.
GUAGCUCAGUGGUAGAGCAACAGAAAAUACGCAGGUUCGAAUCCUGCUCUCGCCA